Molecule: transfer RNA, 62 nt
Filed under: Hylastes opacus
Lineage: Eukaryota; Metazoa; Arthropoda; Insecta; Coleoptera; Curculionidae
Description: tRNA-Tyr
Rfam family: tRNA
About the family: Transfer RNA (tRNA) molecules are approximately 80 nucleotides in length. Their secondary structure includes four short double-helical elements and three loops (D, anti-codon, and T loops).
Source: RNAcentral
GGUAAAAUGGCCGAGUAAGGCGAUAAAUUGUAAAUUUAUUUAUGAAGUGAUUUCUUUUACCA